AAAAGACUUAGUCCUAACCUUACUGUUGGUUUUUGCUAGAGAUAUACAUGCAAGUAUCCGCAUUCCAGUGAAGAUGCCCUAGGCACCCUUUAACCAAGUCGAUAGGAGCAGGUAUCAGGCACACUUAUAUUAGUAGCCCAAGACGCCUAGCAUUUGCCACGCCCCCACGGGUACUCAGCAGUAGUUAACAUUAAGCAAUGAGUGUAAACUUGACUUAGUCAUAGCAAAUUUAAGGGACGGUAAAUCCUGUGCCAGCCACCGCGGUCAUACAGGAGGCCCAAAUCAACAUUACUGUGACGGCGUAAAGUGUGGUAACAUGAUAUCCAAGUAACUAAGAUUAAAAUGCAACUGAGCUGUAAUAAGCCCAAGAUGCCCAUAAGGCCACCUACCAAAGAAGAUCUUAGUCUAACGAUUGAUUGAAAUCCACGAAAGCCAGGGCCCAAACUGGGAUUAGAUACCCCACUAUGCCUGGCCCUAAAUCUUGAUUCUAAUAACCUACCCAAGAAUCCGCCCGAGAACUACGAGCACAAACGCUUAAAACUCUAAGGACUUGGCGGUGUCUCAAACCCACCUAGAGGAGCCUGUUCUAUAAUCGAUAAUCCACGAUCUACCUAACCAUUCCUAGCUCGAAUUUCAGCCUACAUACCGCCGUCUCCAGCUCACCCCCCCUGAUGGCCCAACAGUGAGCACAAUAGUCCACCAACACUAACAAGACAGGUCAAGGUAUAGCCCAUGGAAUGGGAGCAAUGGGCUACAUUUUCUAAUUUAGAACAUCACGGCAAAGGGGCAUGAAACAGCCCCUCGAAGGCGGAUUUAGCAGUAAAGUGGGAUAAUCAAGCCCUCUUUAAGCCGGCUCUGGGACACGUACAUACCGCCCGUCACCCUCCUCGCAGGCGACCAAAAUUUAUUACAUUAAUAAGCUAUCUAGCUGAAGAGGAGGUAAGUCGUAACAAGGUAAGUGUACCGGAAGGUGCACUUAGACAACC
This 986-nucleotide non-coding RNA is filed under the name Dicrurus paradiseus (greater racket-tailed drongo). Its description in RNAcentral is "12S ribosomal RNA". It matches the Rfam family "Bacterial small subunit ribosomal RNA". Lineage: Eukaryota; Metazoa; Chordata; Aves; Passeriformes; Dicruridae. The record is from RNAcentral.